GCUACGGGAGGCAGCAGUGAGGAAUAUUGGUCAAUGGGCGGGAGCCUGAACCAGCCAAGCCGCGUGAGGGAAGAAGGUACUGCGUAUCGUAAACCUCUUUUGUCAGGGAACAAAGGCCGGGACUAGUCCCCGGAUGAGGGUACCUGAAGAAAAAGCAUCGGCUAACUCCGUGCCAGCAGCCGCGGUAAUACGGAGGAUGCGAAGUUUAUCCGGAUUUAUUGGGUUAAAAGGGUGCGCAGGCGGGCUGUUAAGGCGUCGGUAAAAGCCCGGGGCUCACCCCCGGCGCGCCGUUGAAACUGGCGGGCUUGAGUUGGAGAGAGGUACGCGGAAUGCGCGGUGUAGCGGUGAAAUGCUUAGAUAUCGCGCAGAACCCCGAUUGCGAAGGCAGCGUACCGGCGCCACACUGACGCUGAGGCACGAAAGCGUGGGUAUCGAACAGGAUUAGAUACCCGUGUAGUC
Molecule: ribosomal RNA, 459 nt
Filed under: uncultured bacterium
Lineage: Bacteria
Description: partial 16S ribosomal RNA
Rfam family: Bacterial small subunit ribosomal RNA
Source: RNAcentral